AUUUGAUUCUGUGAGUGUGUACCUUAUAUAAAAGAACAUGGGCUAGGGAAAACUUCUCUGCUGUUUGAACAGAGACAAAGGGUGAGUGGACAUUAACUAAGAAAAGGGCUGGGAAAGGGCGGAGAAGAGUGUCCUAGGCUCAACAGCGCGGUGUCGAGCCCUGUGUACAACACGAACAAGGUGUGCUGGUGUCGCAGAAGUGCCAGUGGGUCAACGUGACUGCAGCUCCCCAAGCAAGGCAGUGACUCAGGGGCCCAAGAGGUUUCAUCUGAGGUUCCUUAGUUGUGAUGGCAGAGGAAAGUGAGACCGAAGAACUUCCCAUGGGCUUGUCAGUACUGCAGCUUGGAAGUGACUCACAAUGCUUUCUCUCAGGACUAAUCACACAGCCUCGCCUACAACAAAAAAACUAGCAAAUGUGAGGAAGCACAUGGAAUAUUUGAAAGUGUCGAAGAGGAAAUACCCAAACUCCCAGCUUCCCUGCAGCUGGGGGUGGCCAGAAAACUCAGCUAUGGCCAAUGAGAUUAUUGAUCUGCGGUGGAUUGGGGGAAAACAACUGCUUCUUUGCCACUGAUAGUUUGAGAAGCAAUGAAAUAGCAAGGAAAAGCAGACCCGGGAUUGGAUGGGGACAGUCUAACUCCAGAGCAUCUGCUUGUCCUCAGGGUUGAAAGAUGGCUGCUGCACCUCCAGGCUCUGCAUCUGCAUUCCAAGGAGAAGGAAAGGAAAGGAGAAGGGCAAAGGGGAUGACUAGUCGAGGCCACAAAUAGCCACCUUGCUAUUUUUCUGUCAUGCCAAAUUUAUUCCCACCACUCUGCCUUUGUUCUUUGUAGUCUCUCUUCUCCAGAUACCCAGACAGCUUGCUCCUUUGCUUUGUUCAGACCUGCAUUCAAAUGUCACCUUCCUCAGAGACACAGUCUUUGAUCAUCCUGUCUAAAAUAUGACCAUUGUCCUUUUACUCACUAACCGUCUAUUAUCCAACAUAGUAGCCACUAACCACCUGUGCCUACUGAGCACUCGAAAUGUGGUUAGUCCAAAUGGAGAUGUGCUGUAAGGAUAAGGCACGCACUGGAUUUCAAAGACUUUGUUUCAAAAAAAAAAAGAAUGUAAAAUAUCUCAUUAAUAAUUUGUAUAUUUGUUACAUGUUGAAAUGAUAAUAUUUUGGAUAUGCUGUAUUAGGUUAAAUAAAGUACAUCAAUAAAAUUAAUUUCACCUCUU
Non-coding RNA from Macaca mulatta (Rhesus monkey), 1212 nucleotides. The record is from RefSeq and is a predicted model, not a curated record. NCBI's taxonomy places the organism in Eukaryota, Metazoa, Chordata, Mammalia, Primates, Cercopithecidae.